RNAcentral lists this ribosomal RNA (543 nucleotides) under Kurtus gulliveri (nurseryfish). RNAcentral describes it as "partial 16S large subunit ribosomal RNA". It matches the Rfam family "Bacterial large subunit ribosomal RNA", at positions 1846 to 2586 of the family's 2925-position model. Lineage: Eukaryota; Metazoa; Chordata; Actinopteri; Kurtiformes; Kurtidae. The record is from RNAcentral.
UAAGAGGUCCCGCCUGCCCUGUGACUUACGAGUUUAACGGCCGCGGUAUUUUGACCGUGCAAAGGUAGCGCAAUCACUUGUCUUUUAAAUGAAGACCCGUAUGAAUGGCAUAACGAGGGCUAAACUGUCUCCUUUCUCAAGUCAAUGAAAUUAAUCUUCCCGUGCAGAAGCGGGAAUAACAACAUAAGACGAGAAGACCCUAUGGAGCUUUAGACAAAACACAGACUGCAUCAAAUAGAUUAAAAAUAAAUAAACCUAAACCAAGCAAUCCCUGUCCAAUGUCUUUGGUUGGGGCGACCGCGGGGAAACAAAAAACCCCCACGUGGAAUAAGAGUACUCCUCUUUAAACCAAGAGCCACAGCUCUAAAAAACAGAAUAUCUGACCAUAAAGAUCCGGCAUGACCGAUCAACGGACCGAGUUACCCUAGGGAUAACAGCGCAAUCCCCUUCUAGAGCCCAUAUCGACAAGGGGGUUUACGACCUCGAUGUUGGAUCAGGACAUCCUAAUGGUGCAGCCGCUAUUAAGGGUUCGUUUGUUCAACG